CCUAGUAGAAAGCCAAAUAGGUACUGGGGUUGCAGAGGGCAGCCAAAGGGGUAGGGUGAGGCAGCAGGUCCAACCCCCCCUUGCCCAUGAUGAGUGGCAUUUACAGUGCAGUUGGCCCCAGGGAAUGGGGGCUAGUUGAGGACUGGCAGUUGCCGUAGACUGAGGACUUUGACACCCUGGAAGGAAUGAAAGUGCAGCGUGUCUUAGCUAGAGGGCAAAGGCACUGGUCCCUGUGAAAGGUGGUGGUUAACUAUCAGAGUCCCUGAGGUGAGGGUAUAGUGACAUGUUGAACUUCAAUGGGGUGCUGCAGAGGCUGACCUUGCUACCUACAGCCAAGUGUUUCAUCUAUUUCUGAUGGAGGGAAAGCAUCCACCUCACAGGAACCACUAUGGGUAUGUCUACACAGCAUUUUGGAGUGAGCCUCCCAGCCUGGGUCAACAGACUCUGGCUACCAGUUCUCCUCAUCUUUCAGGAUCAGGCUCUCUGAGACUAGGGGCCUGUCUGCACUUAAAACGCUGCUACAGUGAAAAUGCCACUAUG
Long non-coding RNA from Dermochelys coriacea (leatherback sea turtle), 540 nucleotides. RefSeq lists it as uncharacterized. The record is from RefSeq and is a predicted model, not a curated record. The transcript is spliced from 3 exons. Lineage: Eukaryota; Metazoa; Chordata; Testudines; Dermochelyidae.